This 217-nucleotide unclassified non-coding RNA is filed under the name uncultured Actinomycetes bacterium. RNAcentral describes it as "uncultured actinobacterium contains 16S-23S intergenic spacer region". The record is from RNAcentral. Lineage: Bacteria; Bacillati; Actinomycetota; Actinomycetes.
UCCGAGUUGACCCCGGCAGUCUCCCAUGAGUCCCCGGCAUAACCCGCUGGCAACAUGGAACGAGGGUUGCGCUCGUUGCGGGACUUAACCCAACAUCUCACGACACGAGCUGACGACAGCCAUGCACCACCUGCACACCAACCACAAGGGAACGCCCAUCUCUGGACGCGUCUGGCGCAUGUCAAACCCAGGUAAGGUGGGGAUGACGUAGUCUACG